Molecule: unclassified non-coding RNA, 425 nt
Filed under: Hevea brasiliensis (rubber tree)
Lineage: Eukaryota; Viridiplantae; Streptophyta; Magnoliopsida; Malpighiales; Euphorbiaceae
Source: RNAcentral
AUUUUUUUUUGCAAGGAUGUUUAUUUUGCAAAAGCAAAUUGUGCUAAAACGAUUGGUGUUUUAUUUUUAUUUGAAUUACAAUGAUGGUGUUUUAUUUUUAUUUGCAAGGUAUUUUAUUUUAUUUUUGUUUGUAGUGGUAUUUCUUCAUAAUUGAAUUCAGUUUUGUUUCAUUUUGAGUACUUUCUUGGUUAGCAAAACCACAGUAGUCUAGUACUUUGAUUGUAAAGCACUUGUUCAAAUACUAUAUAUUUGGUAUUUAUAAAUUUGUAAUCAGAGAUCAAUUUAGAAAUAAUAUUGGAAGUUGGAGCAUAUGUGGUGCAUGAUGUGGUAGUUCACCUGACUUUUGUUCUGUAAACUGGCUACUUUAUCAUCUAGUCAUACUGAAUGAUUUGAUUGUGUUAGAAUCCUGUGAUUAUGAUGUGUUA